RNAcentral lists this ribosomal RNA (253 nucleotides) under uncultured bacterium. Its description in RNAcentral is "partial 16S ribosomal RNA". It matches the Rfam family "Bacterial small subunit ribosomal RNA", at positions 524 to 776 of the family's 1533-position model. The record is from RNAcentral.
UACGAAGGGGGCUAGCGUUGCUCGGAAUCACUGGGCGUAAAGGGUGCGUAGGUGGCGCCGUAAGUCGGAUGUGAAAUUUCGGAGCUUAACUCCGAAACUGCAUUCGAUACUGCGGUGCUUGAGGACUGGAGAGGAGACUGGAAUUCAUGGUGUAGCAGUGAAAUGCGUAGAGAUCAUGAGGAAGACCAGUGGCGAAGGCGGGUCUCUGGACAGUUCCUGACACUGAGGCACGAAGGCCAGGGGAGCAAACGGG